This 936-nucleotide ribosomal RNA is filed under the name Gymnopilus decipiens. RNAcentral describes it as "LSU rRNA". It matches the Rfam family "Eukaryotic large subunit ribosomal RNA", at positions 38 to 960 of the family's 3401-position model. The record is from RNAcentral. Lineage: Eukaryota; Fungi; Basidiomycota; Agaricomycetes; Agaricales; Galerinaceae.
GCAUAUCAAUAAGCGGAGGAAAAGAAGACUAACAAGGAUUCCCCUAGUAACUGCGAGUGAAGCGGGAAAAGCUCAAAUUUAAAAGCUGGCGGUCUUUGGCCGUCCGCGUUGUAAUCUAGAGAAGUGUUACCCGCGUUGGACCGUGUACAAGUCUCCUGGAAUGGAGCGUCAUAGAGGGUGACAAUCCCGUCUUUGACACGGACUCCCAAGGCUUUGUGGUGCGCUCUCAAAGAGUCGAGUUGUUUGGGAAUGCAGCUCAAAAUGGGUGGUAAAUUCCAUCUAAAGCUAAAUAUUGGCGAGAGACCGAUAGCGAACAAGUACCGUGAGGGAAAGAUGAAAAGAACUUUGGAAAGAGAGUUAAACAGUACGUGAAAUUGCUGAAAGGGAAACGCUUGAAGUCAGUCGCGUCGUCCGGAGAUCAACCUUGCUUUUGCUGGGCGUACUCUCCGGUUGACGGGCCAGCAUCAGUUUUAGUCGCUGGAAAAGGGCGGAGGGAAUGUGGCAUCUUCGGAUGUGUUAUAGCCCUUCGUCGUAUACAGUGGUUGGGACUGAGGAACUCAGCACGCCGCAAGGCCGGGAUUUAUCCACGUUCGUGCUUAGGAUGCUGGCAUAAUGGCUUUAAUCGACCCGUCUUGAAACACGGACCAAGGAGUCUAACAUGCCUGCGAGUGUUUGGGUGGAAAACCCGAGCGCGUAAUGAAAGUGAAAGUUGAGAUCCCUGUCGUGGGGAGCAUCGACGCCCGGACCAGACCUUUUGUGACGGAUCUGCGGUAGAGCAUGUAUGUUGGGACCCGAAAGAUGGUGAACUAUGCCUGAAUAGGGUGAAGCCAGAGGAAACUCUGGUGGAGGCUCGUAGCGAUUCUGACGUGCAAAUCGAUCGUCAAAUUUGGGUAUAGGGGCGAAAGACUAAUCGAACCAUCUAGUAGCUGGUUCCUG